RNAcentral lists this unclassified non-coding RNA (1379 nucleotides) under Hevea brasiliensis (rubber tree). Lineage: Eukaryota; Viridiplantae; Streptophyta; Magnoliopsida; Malpighiales; Euphorbiaceae. The record is from RNAcentral.
AGGUAGCGAAGAAUCCUUUUGAGAGCUUGCUAAUGUAAUUCUGAUGGUUUAUGCAUGAAAUGAGCUAGUUUAUUAACAGCAUAACUAAUAUCUGGACGGGUGAACGACAAGUACUGAAGAGAUCCAAUAACACUCCGAUAAGUCUGAAUAUCAGUAGUAGGACUACCAUCCAGGAGACUAAGUGAACUAGCGGUGGCAAGAGGUGAGCCGACUGGUUUAGCUUGUUCCAUAUGUGUACGUUGCAGCAAGGCAAUAAUGUAUUGAUGCUGAGAUAAAAGCAAACCACCAUUGAAUUUGUUCACUGAAAUUCCAAGAAAAUAGUGAAGAAGAGCAGGCUGUUUAAUGGAGAAUUAUUGUGCCAAAUUGGUUAGAAAAUCUGCAAUCUUGCUGUCAUUGUUGCCAGUCACUAUUAAAUCAUCUACAUACACAAGGAAAUAAAUGACACAACCAUUGAGUGCGUAGACGAAUAAAGAAGCAUCUGCCAUAGAAUUGAUAAAGCCAUAAGAGUGCAGAAAGUUUGAGAGUGCUGUAUACCAUACACGAGGUGCCUAUUUCAAACCGUAGAUUGAUUUGUGAAGUCUACACACAUAGGAAGAGUGAUUAGAAUCAACAAAUCCAGGAGGUUGGAUCAUGUAUACUUCUUCAUUUAACGGUCCAUGGAGAAAUGCAUUGUUUACAUCCAAUUGUUGUAGCUUCCAACCAUUGGAGAUAGCAAUUAUAAGCACUACCCGAAUGGUAACGGGUUUAACAACGGGACUGAAGGUGUCAGUAAAGUUCUGCCCAGGUCUCUGAUGAAACCCCUUCGUAACAAGUCAUGCCUUAUACCGAGAAAUGCUACCAUCUGAGUUUCGUUUGAUACGAAACGCCCACUUACAGCCAAUGGCCUGUUUCUCAGGCGGCAAAGGAACCAAACUCCAGGUGCCAUUCUUAAUUAAGGCAUUGAAUUCAGAGGAGAGAGUAGCACGCCAUUUUUCAUCUUUCAGUGCUUGAGUGACACAAGUGGGUUCCUGUGGAGAUGGAAUAGGGUGGAGGAAUGUGGAGUGAAGUUGUUUAGGUUAAUAAAUGUUAUCCAUGGAACGGGUGGUCAUUUGAUGUGUUCUAGGAAAGGUAUGGGAAGGAGGUGAUGGAUUUGUGACAGUCAUUUGUGUGGUAGGUGAUGCAAGAGCAGAUUGGGCUGGUGUAUCGGUGUUAGCAGAGUGGUGCUCAUCAGUCAAAGAGGCAGAAGAAGAUAAAUGUACCUGAGUGGAUGAGGGAGAGUUUACCAUGCUAGUAAGUUGUUGAAGAGAGAAAGUGCCAUGAUAAAUUGGAAUAUUGUAGAAAGAAGGAGUGGUAACAGCAGAGGAGAGCCAAUGUAUUUUAUCGGGGUUAACAACUCUUUG